GAGUUUGAUCAUGGCUCAGAACGAACGCUGGCGGCAGGCUUCAUACAUGCAAGUCGCGCGAUUAAAGCUCCUUCGGGAGUGUAUAAAGCGGCGAACGGGUGAGUAACAGGUGGAUAAUCUACCUUACGGUGGGGGACAACGGCUGGAAACGGCCGCUAAUACCGCAUACGAUUGCGGGUUCUUCGGAACCUGUAAGGAAAGGGGCUUUCAAGCUCCGCCGUAAGAUGAGUCCGCCCCCCAUUAGCUUGUUGGCGGGAUAACAGCCCACCAAGGCGACGAUGGGUAGCCGAGCUGAGAGGUUGAUCGGCCACACUGGGACUGAGACACGGCCCAGACACCUACGGGUGGCAGCAGUAGGGAAUAUUGCGCAAUGGGCGAAAGCCUGACGCAGCCAUGCCGCGUGGAUGAUGAAGGCCUUCGGGUCGUAAAGUCCUUUUCUGAGGGAAGAACACCCACGGGAGGAAAUGCCCGUGGCUUGACGGUACCUCAGGAAUAAGCAACGGCUAACUCCGUGCCAGCAGCCGCGGUAAUACGGAGGUUGCGAGCGUUGUUCGGAUUUACUGGGCGUAAAGGGAGCGCAGGCGGUUUGGUCAGUUCAAAGUGAAAGUCCGGGGCUUACCCUCGGAAGUGCUUUGGAUAC
RNAcentral lists this ribosomal RNA (640 nucleotides) under uncultured bacterium. RNAcentral describes it as "bacterial SSU rRNA". It matches the Rfam family "Bacterial small subunit ribosomal RNA", at positions 9 to 633 of the family's 1533-position model. The record is from RNAcentral.